Molecule: non-coding RNA, 103 nt
Filed under: Mitsuokella sp. oral taxon 131 str. W9106
Lineage: Bacteria; Bacillati; Bacillota; Negativicutes; Selenomonadales; Selenomonadaceae
Also listed under: 1 other name
Description: SAM riboswitch aptamer (S box leader)
Rfam family: SAM riboswitch aptamer (S box leader)
About the family: The SAM riboswitch is found upstream of a number of genes which code for proteins involved in methionine or cysteine biosynthesis in Gram-positive bacteria. The SAM riboswitch acts at the level of transcription termination control. The predicted structure consists of a complex stem-loop region followed by a single stem loop terminator region.
Source: Rfam by way of RNAcentral
GACUCAUCCAGAGCAGCGGAGGGAUCGGCCCGAUGAAGCUGCGGCAACCAUGACGAUGUCAAACGGUGCCAAUUCCUUUAGGCAAUGCCCUAUAAGAUGAGAG